This 334-nucleotide ribosomal RNA is filed under the name uncultured bacterium. RNAcentral describes it as "bacterial SSU rRNA". It matches the Rfam family "Bacterial small subunit ribosomal RNA", at positions 18 to 344 of the family's 1533-position model. The record is from RNAcentral.
CAUGGCUCAGGACGAACGCUGGCGGCGUGCCUAAUACAUGCAAGUAGAACGCUGAAGGAGGAGCUUUCUCUUCUGUAUGAGUUGCGAACGGGUGAGUAACGCGUAGGUAACCUGCCUGGUAGCGGGGGAUAACUAUUGGAAACGAUAUCUAAUACCGCAUAAGAGUAUAUUUUGCAUGACAUUUUCUUAAAAGGUGCAAUUGCAUCACUACCAGAUGGACCUGCGUUGUAUUAGCUAGUUGGUGAGGUAACGGCUCACCAAGGCGACGAUACAUAGCCGACCUGAGAGGGUGAUCGGCCACACUGGUACUGAGACACGGACCAGACUCCUACGG